CGGUGCACCCACUGUUAAACCUGUAGAAUUUGAACUCUCCCACCGUUGAGAAGGACAUGCACCCUUCUGCACGAGUGAUUUCCUUAACCCCCGUUGAUCUAGACUUCGAGAAAAUAUCAACACUCCUCACUUUGGGAUUUUCUUCCACCACAACCUCGUGACACUCAGUCUCCGUCUGAACCAACUUCCUCUGAGACUCAUGUGCUUUCUCA
Molecule: long non-coding RNA, 212 nt
Filed under: Medicago truncatula (barrel medic)
Lineage: Eukaryota; Viridiplantae; Streptophyta; Magnoliopsida; Fabales; Fabaceae
Description: long non-coding RNA (MTRU_LNC004170)
Source: RNAcentral